AUGAGCCCCUGGAAGCAUUUGCGAAUGUGGAAUAUUAUGAGGUGCCAACCAGAGAUAGACAAACUUUGGAAUGAUUAUCUUUUGCUUUUUAGCAAAAGAAUAUAUUUUUAAUCAUUUAUUACCAUUCACAUUCUCUAACAUUAUUUGGAAAUGCACGAUACAAUAUAGCGCAAGUAACUAAAUCAAAUGGAUACAGCCUAAGGAUCACAACAAAGAAAUCAAUAGCCAAG
Molecule: unclassified non-coding RNA, 230 nt
Filed under: Hevea brasiliensis (rubber tree)
Lineage: Eukaryota; Viridiplantae; Streptophyta; Magnoliopsida; Malpighiales; Euphorbiaceae
Source: RNAcentral